GACGAACGCUGGCGGCGUGCUUAACACAUGCAAGUCGAACGGAAAGGCCCUGCUUUUGUGGGGUGCUCGAGUGGCGAACGGGUGAGUAACACGUGGGUAACCUGCCCUUGACUUUGGGAUAACUUCAGGAAACUGGGGCUAAUACCGGAUAGGAGCUCCUGCUGCAUGGUGGGGGUUGGAAAGUUUCGGCGGUUGGGGAUGGACUCGCGGCUUAUCAGCUUGUUGGUGGGGUAGUGGCUUACCAAGGCUUUGACGGGUAGCCGGCCUGAGAGGGUGACCGGCCACAUUGGGACUGAGAUACGGCCCAGACUCCUACGGGAGGCAGCAGUGGGGAAUAUUGCACAAUGGGCGGAAGCCUGAUGCAGCAACGCCGCGUGCGGGGUGACGGCCUUCGGGUUGUAAACCGCUUUCGCCUGUGACGAAGCGUGAGUGACGGUAAUGGGUAAAGAAGCACCGGCUAACUACGUG
RNAcentral lists this ribosomal RNA (468 nucleotides) under uncultured bacterium. Its description in RNAcentral is "partial 16S ribosomal RNA". It matches the Rfam family "Bacterial small subunit ribosomal RNA", at positions 28 to 507 of the family's 1533-position model. The record is from RNAcentral.